GCGGGGUGGGCGGGCGGGAGCGCGGCGCAGGCGCAGGCGCAGUCGAGGGGCCUGGCCGGCUCCCCCCCAACCCCGGAGUCCCGGGGCUCUGCUCUCCGCCGGGCUCCUGCUGCCGUCGCCGUCCGUCGCCUCUUCCUCCGUCUCCGUCCUGCUGCCUCGCAGGCCUGCUUUCCUCUUGCUCCUCCGGGGAUCUUGGCCUUGCUCCUCUUCUCUCCGGAGCGGGCAGUGACACCCCGACGCCUACCUCCCGCGUGUGUUUUGAGUGUUCUUUCUACCUCAUAAAACUGUGGCAUCCAAGAGCUGGAAGGAGUCUCAAGAAGUCAUUGCCCAUUGGACACGGGACCAGAUAUUGAAACUGUCUUUCCAAGAUUAUUGGAGCCUCCUUGCCAAACUCCAGCUUCUGCCAGAACAAACACACCCAACCAAAAUGGUUUAAAGACCUUAGCAUUCUGAGAGUCUGGGCCACGGAGGAAAAUAGGACUGGUGGUGGUGUGCCGUGGUGGUGAUGAGUGACACUCCACAGUGGCCCUGGCCAAAUGUCAACCCCACCAAGGAGCAGCGUGGUGAAGCCACAUGGAAAAUGGUGCAGGACAAACCACGUGCAAGAGGCAGCAUCUGUAGCAGGACUCACAGAUGCCCUGGAAGGGAAGGUAGGUCAUGGGACACCUCCUUGGAGACCCUUCUUCUUCUUAAGACUGUCUGUAUGUGUCAGUUCAGCUGUGGUAACAAGCAGUCCCAAAGUCUUAAGGGAUCACAAUGACAACAAACAUUUCUUUCUCACUCACAUCACACGUGGGUGACUGUCACCUAUGGCUCCCGGGGCUUUCUUUGUAUCAUGACUUCCUACUCCAGGGAAGCUGUAGGAGCUGCCCCAUUUGGGUCAGCAGGUACAGUGGUGGAAGCUCUCGCCGAUGCAUGGUAAAGUUGCUGACACCUGGAACAUACUGGCACAUUCAUUCAUAUUCCAUGGGCCUCGUCAGGUCACACGAUCGAGCCCAAAGUCAGUAAGGUGAAAAUAUGUUACUCUCAGCGGGAGGAGGCCAUGGAUACUCUCUGCCUCCCUUCCCAGAGGGGCUUUGACAGCUCAGCAGCCUCCUCUAUGCAAGCUGGGUUUGUUCUAACAAUAUUGUGAAAUAAUAGCAAAUGCAAGAGUAAUAAACAUUCCCUGGCCCCUGU
RNAcentral lists this long non-coding RNA (1176 nucleotides) under Canis lupus familiaris (dog). RNAcentral describes it as "lncRNA (ENSCAFG00845029579.1)". Lineage: Eukaryota; Metazoa; Chordata; Mammalia; Carnivora; Canidae. The record is from RNAcentral.